UAGUCCACGCCCUAAACGAUGUGCACUAGAUCGAGGCGGCUCUGACGUCGUCUCGGCCGAAGCGAAAGCGUUAAGUGCACCGCCUGGGGAGUACGGUCGCAAGGCUAAAACUCAAAGGAAUUGACGGGGGCUCACACGAGCGGUGGAGCAUGUGGCUUAAUUCGAAGCAACGCGAAGAACCUUAUCCUGGACUUGACAUGUAUGGAUUAGCUCUUGGAAACAAGAGUGACACUCUUGAGUGGAACAUACACAGGUGCUGCAUGGCUGUCGUCAGCUCGUGCUGUGAAGUGUCGGGUUAAGUCCCUUAACGAGCGCAACCCCUAUCGUUAGUUGCCAGCGCGUAAUGGCGGGGGACUCUAGCGAGACUGCCGGUGUCAAACCGGAGGAAGGUGGGGAUGACGUCAAGUCAGCAUGGCCCUUAUGUCCAGGGCUGCACACGUGCUACAAUGGUGCAUACAGAGCGACGCGAGGCCGCAAGGCGGAG
This 484-nucleotide ribosomal RNA is filed under the name uncultured bacterium. RNAcentral's name for it is "bacterial SSU rRNA". It matches the Rfam family "Bacterial small subunit ribosomal RNA", at positions 791 to 1267 of the family's 1533-position model. The record is from RNAcentral.